This 419-nucleotide ribosomal RNA is filed under the name uncultured bacterium. RNAcentral's name for it is "bacterial SSU rRNA". It matches the Rfam family "Bacterial small subunit ribosomal RNA", at positions 355 to 774 of the family's 1533-position model. The record is from RNAcentral.
UGAGGAAUAUUGCACAAUGGGCGCAAGCCUGAUGCAGCGACGCCGCGUGUGGGAUGAAGGGGCUACGCCUCGUAAACCACUGUAGCCCGGGACGAAAAACGCCUUAGAGGCGUUAGACGGUACCGGGAAAGUAAGGGUCGGCUAACUACGUGCCAGCAGCCGCGGUAAUACGUAGGACCCAAGCGUUGUCCGGAUUUACUGGGUGUAAAGGGUGCGCAGGCGGAUGGGUAAGUCAGGGGUGAAAGUCUGCAGCUUAACUGUAGAAUUGCCUUCGAUACUGCUCAUCUUGAGUGUGGGAGAGGUUGAUGGAAUACCAGGUGUAGCAGUGAAAUGCGUAGAUAUCUGGAAGAACACCAGUGCCGAAGGCGGUCAACUGGCCCAUAACUGGCGCUCAUGCACGAAAGCGUGGGGAACAAACA